Molecule: ribosomal RNA, 515 nt
Filed under: uncultured bacterium
Lineage: Bacteria
Description: partial 16S ribosomal RNA
Rfam family: Bacterial small subunit ribosomal RNA
Source: RNAcentral
GAUGAACGCUGGCGGCGUGCCUAAUACAUGCAAGUCGAGCGAAUGGAUUAAGAGCUUGCUCUUAUGAAGUUAGCGGCGGACGGGUGAGUAACACGUGGGUAACCUGCCCAUAAGACUGGGAUAACUCCGGGAAACCGGGGCUAAUACCGGAUAACAUUUUGAACCGCAUGGUUCGAAAUUGAAAGGCGGCUUCGGCUGUCACUUAUGGAUGGACCCGCGUCGCAUUAGCUAGUUGGUGAGGUAACGGCGCACCAAGGCAACGAUGCGUAGCCGACCUGGGAGGGUGAUCGGCCACACUGGGACUGAGACACGGCCCAGACUCCUACGGGAGGCAGCAGUAGGGAAUCUUCCGCAAUGGACGAAAGUCUGACGGAGCAACACCGCGUGAGUGAUGAAGGCUUUCGGGUCGUAAAACUCUGUUGUUAGGGAAGAACAAGUGCUAGUUGAAUAAGCUGGCACCUUGACGGUACCUAACCAGAAAGCCACGGCUAACUACGUGCCAGCAGCCGCCGUAA